Molecule: ribosomal RNA, 503 nt
Filed under: uncultured bacterium
Lineage: Bacteria
Description: bacterial SSU rRNA
Rfam family: Bacterial small subunit ribosomal RNA
Source: RNAcentral
AUUGAACGCUGGCGGAAUGCUUUACACAUGCAAGUCGGGCGGCAGCACGGGGGCAACCCUGGUGGCGAGCGGCGAACGGGUGAGUAACACAUCGGAACGUACCCUGUCGUGGGGGAUAACACAUCGAAAGAUGUGCUAAUACCGCAUACGACCCGAGGGUGAAAGCGGGGGAUCGCAAGACCUCGCGCGACUGGAGCGGCCGAUGUCGGAUUAGCUAGUUGGUAGGGUAAAGGCCUACAAAGGCGACGAUCCGGAGCGGGUCUGAGAGGACGGCCCGCCACACUGGGACUGAGACACGGCCCAGACUCCUACGGGAGGCAGCAGUGGGGAAUUUUGGACAAUGGGGGCAACCCUGAUCCAGCCAUUCCGCGUGAGUGAAGAAGGCCUUCGGGUUGUAAAGCUCUUUCGGCAGGAACGAAACGGUGGAGGCUAAUACCUUUCAUCAAUGACGGUACCUGAAGAAGAAGCACCGGCUAACUACGUGCCAGCAGCCGCAGUAAUAC